RNAcentral lists this ribosomal RNA (493 nucleotides) under uncultured bacterium. RNAcentral describes it as "partial 16S ribosomal RNA". It matches the Rfam family "Bacterial small subunit ribosomal RNA", at positions 28 to 507 of the family's 1533-position model. The record is from RNAcentral.
GACGAACGCUGGCGGCGUGCUUAACACAUGCAAGUCGAACGGAAAGGCCUGCUUUCCCUUGUGGAUUGCGGGUACUCGAGUGGCGAACGGGUGAGUAACACGUGAGUGAUCUGCCCCCAACUUGGGUAUAAGCCUGGGAAACUGGGUCUAAUUCCCGAUAGGACUGCAGGGUGGUGCCUGUGGUGGAAAACGAUUUUCUAGUGGUUGGGGAUGAGCUCGCGGCCUAUCAGCUUGUUGGUGGGUAAUGGCCUACCAAGGCGGCGACGGGUAGCCGGCCUGAGAGGGUGGACCGCCACAUUGGGACUGAGAUACGGCCCAGACUCCUACGGGAGGCAGCAGUGGGGAAUAUUGCACAAUGGGCGGAAGCCUGAUGCAGCGACGCCGCGUGGGGGAUGACGGCCUUCGGGUUGUAAACUCCUUUCGACCGCGAGGAAGCCACCUGGUUGGAAGGGUGGUGACGGUAGUGGUAGAAGAAGCACCGGCUAACUACGUG